AGAGUUUGAUCCUGGCUCAGAACGAACGCUGGCGGCGUGCUUAAUACAUGCAAGUCUAACGAGAAAGUACCCUUCGGGGUGCGAGUACAGUGGCGAACGGGUGAGUAACACGUAAGCAACCUGCCCCUAAAUCCGGGACAACCCUGCCAACGCGGGGCUAAUACCGGAUGUGGUCUGGAUCUCGCAUGGGAACCGGAUUAAAGGUGACCUCUUCUUGAAAGUUAUCGUUUAGGGAUGGACUUGCGGACCAUUAGCUUGUUGGCGGGGUAACGGCCCACCAAGGCUGCGAUGGUUAGCCGACCUGAGAGGGUGAUCGGCCACAUUGGGACUGAGAUACGGCCCAGACUCCUACGGGAGGCAGCAGUAGGGAAUUUUGCGCAAUGGACGAAAGUCUGACGCAGCAACGCCGCGUGAGGGAUGACGGCCUUCGGGUUGUAAACCUCUGUUGAGUGGGAAGAACCGCAUCAGGAAUAAUACGCCUGAUGUCUGACGGUACCAUUCGAGGAAGCUCCGGCUAACUACGUGCCAGCAGCCGCGGUAAUACGUAGGGGGCAAGCGUUGUUCGGAAUCACUGGGCGUAAAGGGAGUGUAGGCGGAAUGAUAAGUUAGAAGUUUAAUGCCACGGCUCAACCGUGGACCUGCUUUUAAUACUGUCAUUCUUGAGUAUUGGAGAGGGCGAUGGAAUUCCAGGUGUAGCGGUGGAAUGCGUAGAUAUCUGGAAGAACACCAGUUGCGAAGGCGGUCGCCUGGCAAAUACUGACGCUGAGGCUCGAAAGCUAGGGGAGCAAACAGGAUUAGAUACCCUGGUAGUCCUAGCCGUAAACGAUGGACACUAGUUGCCGGAGGAGUCAAUCCUUUCGGUGACGAAGUUAACGCAUUAAGUGUCCCGCCUGGGGAGUACGCUCGCAAGGGUGAAACUCAAAGGAAUUGACGGGGGCCCGCACAAGCGGUGGAGCAUGUGCUUUAAUUCGAUGCAACGCGAAGAACCUUACCUGGGUUUGACAUGGGAAUGAAAGGUCCUGGAGACAGGAUCCCUUCCUUCGGGAACAUUCUACACAGGUGCUGCAUGGUUGUCGUCAGCUCGUGUCGUGAGAUGUUGGGUUAAGUCCCGCAACGAGCGCAACCCUCGCCCUUAGUUGCCAUCAGGUCAAGCUGGGAACUCUAAGGGGACUGCCUGGAUUAACCAGGAGGAAGGUGGGGAUGACGUCAAAUCAUCAUGGCCCUUACGUCCAGGGCUAGACACGUGCUACAAUGGCAGAUACAACGGGACGCAAGCCCGCGAGGGUAAGCUAAUCUCUCAAAAUCUGUCUCAGUUCGGAUUGGAGUCUGCAACCCGACUCCAUGAAGCUGGAAUCGCUAGUAAUCGCGGAUCAGCAUGCCGCGGUGAAUACGUUCCCGGGCCUUGUACACACCGCCCGUCAAGCCACGAAAGAUGGAAGUGCCCGAAGUCGUUUUCCCCAACUUCGGAGGGGGACGCCGAAGGUAAGGCCAUUGAUUGGGGCUAAGUCGUAACAAGGUA
RNAcentral lists this ribosomal RNA (1519 nucleotides) under metagenome. Its description in RNAcentral is "bacterial SSU rRNA". It matches the Rfam family "Bacterial small subunit ribosomal RNA". The record is from RNAcentral.